CCGCCCGCCACAACGCUGAGCGGCGGUGGCCACAACCAUUGAGAAGGACAGAGGACCGCGGGACAGCCAAUGAUGGGAGGCGCUGGGUGCGGCUGCCUCAUGAAUAUGCAGCGUAGAGCAGCCAGAAACCCUUUGGGCGUCCGUAGAGACGGGGGGAACUAUCAUAUGGCUCCUCAGAAACCCGCGCUGAAAGGCACUGAUCGUCUGUCUCCACUGGAUGUGACGAGUGGUCCUUCCUCAUCCCGCUCCUUCUCUUGGGGCAUCGCGCAGACAGGAACAUCACCCCCGCGGUGAGAAGCGGAGAUAGGCAGUGGCUUCCUCCGAGGGGAACGAAAGUUUUAAUCAAAACACUAUGCAAAAAAAUCCUUGCCAUGUCUGAAAACAUUUUUUUUUUAAGAGACAACUUUGUUUAGUCGCUAGUAUCAGCUUUAAGUCAGCAAUCUGAACAGAUCUAGCCAGCUCUUUAAAAUCCGAAUUACGCAACUUGUAUGGGAAGAAACGGCAGCUUGUUCACAAAGGAAAAGUUUCUUGUCUAGCUCUGUGUUAGGCUCUGGUGUGGUCUCUCUUUCUGCUCAGAGAUGGAACCUUGGCCAAAGCCCUGAGGGUAACACUUUUAAUUUAACUAAAAGGGCAUGUGUUUGGAUGCAAUUUCCACCUACACAGCUACCACAAUUAGACUAAAAGGACUUCUAGAUUCCAACAUUAGUAUGGUUUUUUAACACGCAGAUGAUUUAUGCUCACACAGGUACCUGAAGAAAGAAAGUAGUUUGUGGCAAUGUUCAGAGUAAGCAAACUGCAAAUUCAGUGAGACACAAGGACUUAAAGAAAAUAAACAGCUCUCCCGUUAGUUCCAUGUGGGAAGCAGUGUAGGCAGCGACUGAUACUCAGGUGAGCAGCCCCACUAAUCAGAAGGACUGAUACUCUGUGAUGCACGAGGAGAGGUUCCAAGUGGGCUCUGCUUGACAUACCUGAAUGCGUGGAGGCAGUGAGGGGGCAGCUGUGUUUCAAAACUGCAGAGGGGAAAGUCUCUAUCAUCAAACCCGGGGUAGAUCUCUAGCAUCCAGGACCUUUCUGAAAAACAGGAUGCAGCACAUGCAUGGAGGGACUCUGUGGGGUCCCAGCACUGAGUCCUCUCUUGUCAUAGAGAAAUACAUCAUAUUCUUUGCAUAAGCUGUCUGAAUCCCAAUAUUUGAGCAUGGGCUAGGUUGUUGCUGUUGGUUUGUCUUGGGGACACUAAAGUAUCUAGUUUUCUAAAUAAGGAAUUUCCCUCUAAUUUCCAGUCUUAAUUUGGUCAAAGCCAGUGUACAUCCUUUUCUCACUUUUACCAGCAUUUUAAACUGCUACUUACUUUGAAGUUUAUUUUUUCAGCCUGCUUAAAAUAAUAUACUUUGUCUAGCCCUUGCUUUCUUAACCUAAAGCUUAAGAACUCCACUGUCACAUUUCUCCUUGCUCCUCCAAGCAGCUUUUCCCUGCACCCAAUCCCAGCUCAGCUGAGGCACAGGAAGUUCCAGAACAGAGCUUUUUUUUUUCCCCAAGAAUGCACAGACACGGAUGUUCUGUAUCUCCACCAGAAAUUACUAGAAAUAAUAUAAAAAGUAUUUUGAUAAAUACAGUGAAUGGCAAUGUUGUUACCCUGAUGGAGAUUAAAAAAUUUCCACCAGGUGAAUAAGCACUGAACUGCCUAUGAGUUCUUAAGACUUCACUCUUUUACCUUAAUAUAUUGCACUGCUUAGGACGGGGUAACUCAUUGGUCAGUGUGGUCAGCCUAAAUAUUUUCACAUCUAUUGGUUAAAAAAGCAAAUGGGAUUUUAGCAUUUCGAAAACAUAUAAGGCAACAAGGUACAUUUAACAAUGUGUAAAAUUCUGUGUACAGACACAGCACUGAAACUUAUUUUAAUAUAGCUAACUGCAGUGAUUAUUUGUCAUCUGCAAGUAGGAAAAUUCUCUAUAUAAUUCAGCUGAUUUUCUCAGAACGCGUGAAAGACUCCAUUAGUUACUGACAAGUGAAAGGUGUGCAGGUUUUGGGGUGGUUUGGUUUGGUGGUUGUUUUUUUUAGAAAAAGGAACUGGCUAAAGAUCUUGAAGGGAAACAGGAAGGGAGUUCCAGAUAUCUGGAGUAAGUCAAAUAAACAAGCCAAAGGAAAUUAAAGAUUUCAGUACUGAAACUACAUUGCAAAAUACCCUUUCCUUUAUCUCUUCAGAAAAAUAUGUUAAAAUUCUUAGAUGCAGAUUGUCAAUGACUUAGAGUACUUUGCAGAUAUUUAGCAAAUUAGGUGUUUUCAUGUACUGAACUUCAGAAGAAAAGCAUUCAGCAUGUGAAACACCAGUUGGUGAAUGUGAUGAGUUUCCACAGUAGUGCUGACAAUAGCUAUGCACUGCUGGAUUUUUUUCCUGUCCACUGUGACCUGCUUGAUCUCACAGAGAAGUAAUAUGAUAUCACAGCAUAUCAUAAACUAGGACAAUAAUUGUGAUUGGACAAAUAGAGUAUUAGCAAACAGAAAAACCCUAUUUAGUCUCAAGUAGCAAAUUAAAAAGAUGGAGUUAAAUUGCAAGAAUGGUUGGAUUUUUGUCCCUCUUUUUAAGCUCCAAGUACAGUCAAGUAUCAAGCAUCACAUCUUUAUCUCUGGAAGGACAAAACUCUGUGGUUCUCUUGUUUUCAGGUUAUGC
Molecule: long non-coding RNA, 2666 nt
Organism: Pogoniulus pusillus (Red-fronted tinkerbird)
Lineage: Eukaryota; Metazoa; Chordata; Aves; Piciformes; Lybiidae
Exons: 2
Source: RefSeq, a predicted model, not a curated record